CAACAACAGAACGUAAACAGGAGGAGGGAGGUGGGGGGAAGGGUAAGAACACGACAUCCUCAUCCGCAUCUGUCACCAUGGGGAGUCCGUCCGUCAUGUCCGUGGAUCAGCAACCCAUGACUCCAAGCAAUCACUCUGCACGGCCCCACUGUAAGGAUGUCAACCUUCAGCGACGGCUGACCCCUCUCAGACCUCCAAGGGGCCACCAUCCCAGCUGCCCUCAUCAGCUGCUCCAAGUGGAACUCUGACUGAUGGAGUUGGCAGCGUCCACGCCCCGCCUCAUUAAGACCUGGUCCGCGGGCAGCCGGCUCCAGGUCCCUGCCCCGGUGUCACAUUACAGGAUAAUUACGCUCAGAUUAGUUUCUCACACCCUCUGGACAGAGACAUGCUAAUGUGGAUUCUUAGACAUUAAAAUCUUAUAAAGUUCUCUA
This is a long non-coding RNA of Equus caballus (horse), 431 nucleotides long. RefSeq lists it as uncharacterized. The record is from RefSeq and is a predicted model, not a curated record. NCBI's taxonomy places the organism in Eukaryota, Metazoa, Chordata, Mammalia, Perissodactyla, Equidae.